RNAcentral lists this ribosomal RNA (439 nucleotides) under uncultured bacterium. RNAcentral's name for it is "bacterial SSU rRNA". It matches the Rfam family "Bacterial small subunit ribosomal RNA", at positions 954 to 1392 of the family's 1533-position model. The record is from RNAcentral.
GCAAAACGCGAAGAACCUUACCAGGUCUUGACAUCCCACUGACCGCUAUGGAGACAUAGUUUUCCCUUCGGGGACAGUGGUGACAGGUGGUGCAUGGUUGUCGUCAGCUCGUGUCGUGAGAUGUUGGGUUAAGUCCCGCAACGAGCGCAACCCUUGAUCUUAGUUGCCAUCAUUUAGUUGGGCACUCUAAGGUGACUGCCGGUGACAAACCGGAGGAAGGUGGGGAUGACGUCAAAUCAUCAUGCCCCUUAUGACCUGGGCUACACACGUGCUACAAUGGACGGUACAAACGGUUGCCAACCCGCGAGGGGGAGCUAAUCCGAUAAAACCGUUCUCAGUUCGGAUUGUAGGCUGCAACUCGCCUACAUGAAGCCGGAAUCGCUAGUAAUCGCGGAUCAGCAUGCCGCGGUGAAUACGUUCCCGGGUCUUGUACACACCG